Long non-coding RNA from Amphiprion ocellaris (clown anemonefish), 467 nucleotides. The record is from Ensembl. NCBI's taxonomy places the organism in Eukaryota, Metazoa, Chordata, Actinopteri, Pomacentridae.
GUUUGAACCACGUGUCACAUAACUGCUGCAGAGGUCAUUCUGUUACCAUAGCAACUAAAGUUGUACUUCCAACAAAAAAAGGAGGGUACAUAGAUGGGGCAGAUGCUUGCUGACUGGCAACAAUGGCUGAGGAGGAGAGGCCUGAAAGUAGAGGGACAGCUGUCAGAAAAAUUCAACAUGCUUCAACCUAACAGGCCUAACAAGAGUUUCUGACUGCAAAUGCAUACCCAGACUCAACCAGUAAAACUUCGACAGCUGUAAAUGAACAGCAAGUCUCCUAGUCCCCACCACCAGCACGAGUUGGACCGUGUGCACCAUGAGCCAGAACAUGGAGGAGAGAACAGGACGACCAUCGGGGUGGAGCCAGACUCCUGCUGAUAUCAACGUUUCCUAACCCAAAAAAUUCUCCUCACUGUCAGCACAGCUUUCUAACACUGCAACAUCAUCAAGGAGUGUCUAACUCUCUA